CUCUAAGGUGCUGAGUUCAGUUCAGGAGAGCUUCUCCAUUCUGUUAAUUAAACUUUGGGACAUUGAAAGUACCUAAGGGAAAUAACUGAAUAGAGUAUAAUACACUAUUCAUAUACUUCCAGGUCCACAC
Molecule: small nucleolar RNA, 130 nt
Organism: Psammomys obesus (fat sand rat)
Lineage: Eukaryota; Metazoa; Chordata; Mammalia; Rodentia; Muridae
Source: RefSeq, a predicted model, not a curated record